RNAcentral lists this ribosomal RNA (402 nucleotides) under uncultured bacterium. RNAcentral's name for it is "bacterial SSU rRNA". It matches the Rfam family "Bacterial small subunit ribosomal RNA", at positions 917 to 1322 of the family's 1533-position model. The record is from RNAcentral.
GGGCCCGCACAAGCGGUGGAGCAUGUGGUUUAAUUCGAUGAUACGCGAGGAACCUUACCAGGGCUUAAAUGGGAGAUGACAGGGGCAGAGACGCCCUUUUCUUCGGACAUCUUUCAAGGUGCUGCAUGGUUGUCGUCAGCUCGUGCCGUGAGGUGUCAGGUUAAGUCCUAUAACGAGCGCAACCCCUACCGUUAGUUGCCAGCGAUUCAAGUCGGGGACUCUAACGGGACUGCCGGUGCAAACCGUGAGGAAGGUGGGGACGACGUCAAAUCAUCACGGCCCUUACGUCCUGGGCUACACACGUGCUACAAUGGUCGGUACAGAGGGAAGCUACCCCGUAAGGGGAUGCGGAUCUAUAAAACCGGUCACAGUUCGGAUCGGAGUCUGCAACUCGACUCCGUG